This is a long non-coding RNA of Columba livia (rock pigeon), 2064 nucleotides long. RefSeq lists it as uncharacterized. NCBI's taxonomy places the organism in Eukaryota, Metazoa, Chordata, Aves, Columbiformes, Columbidae. The transcript has 4 exons. The record is from RefSeq and is a predicted model, not a curated record.
CUUCCUUCCUUCCUUCCUUCCUUUCUUCCUUCCUUUCUUCCUUUCUUCCUUUCUUCCUUUCUUCCUUUCUUUCUUUCUUUCUUUCUUUCUUUCUUUCUUUCUUUCUUUCUUUCUUUCUUUCUUUCUUUCUUUCUUUCUUUCUUUCUUCUUUCCUUCCUUCCUUCCUUCCUUCCUUUCUUCCUUUCUUCCUUUCUUCCUUUCUUCCUUUCUUUCUUCUUUUCUUCCUUUCUUCCUUUCUUCCUUUCUUCCUUUCUUCCUUUCUUCCUUUCUUCCUUUCUUUCCUUUCUUUUCUUCCCCCAUAUCCAUUUAUGUAAUUCAUGAAAGAGGGGUUAUGCUAAAUAGCUGACCUGGUGUUCUCCUGACUUCUUGGACAUCACUCUCUGAUGGUCCUUCCAGGAGCCCUGUCUUUGGCUGAGGAGGAAGGGGAGAAGCACUAGUUCAGGAUUUAGUCUUUGGUUUUUCUUCACUCUCUAGAGUGAUGCUUGAUGUGUGUUUCUAAUGGCUAUCUUUCAAUGAUUUUAAUGGAGCUGCUUUAACAGGAAAUCACACCAGGGAAUUUAACAUCCCUGCCCCCACAUAUCACAAAGGAGUUGUCCUCUUCUGUGAUGGAAAGAGGUUAACUGCAGCCACAACAGCUUGUGUGGUAUGUCUGCUCCCCUGUAAUGCUCUCUGCUUAGACAAACAUGAAACCAUAAAAAUACUCUUUUCUCUCAUUAUUAAUUUUCUUCCUUUCAAUUAAUCUGCCAAGAGCCCUUAGAAGGUGUUUAUCCCAGAAUAUGGCGGGGACCAGCUGUAACAAAAUUGUUUUUCUGUGAGACAGAAGGGAAAGCUGGAAUUCAGUCUCACCAGCAUUAGCCUUUGUACUUGCUUUAUCUAAUACAAAAACUGUAACAUCAGACCUACCAUGCGUUUCCUUGUUUACCUAAAAAUCUGUAAUGUCUCUUGAGAUGCUGUAAGGAUCGGAGGAAAUCUAUGGGCUGCUCUGAAGUUUUUUACUCAUACAAAUCUUUGAUUUCCCUUUGCUGCCACGUUCAUCUCAGGGGGGAAGAAGAAAACUCAGUUCUCGUGCAUUGUGCAGGGGUGCGCUCCUGCUCUUGCGCUGGGACCUUCCUCACAUUGUCAACCACGCUCAUUGCUCUGGGCUCCUGGGAACAAUUCUGUAGCUUCAUCCGCUUCCACUCAUUUAUGUCUGAGGGGCUGAGACAGAUACUUUCUGCCAUGGUUCGUGUUAACUUUGCUCUCUGCUCAGUUUUUAUCUGAAGUUGUAGCAGUUCAUCUACAAAUAGACAUUGUUUGAGGAUCUUCAGUGCUGGAUCUUGACCCAAUGGACCAAACGCAGACCCAGAAUACAGAUCAGGCUUUGAGCUCUGCAGCCCCUCCAAGAAGAAGAAGAAAACACACUGGAAGACGAAAGCCUUGUAUGGGUCCCAGAUGCCAGUCGUCAUUCUGAGGCUGCUCUGAACAGACUUGCUGGUUCUUUCAGCUCUCUGGGAUGACAGAGGGAAAGCUGCACGUGCCCAGAUGAAUGUACAGAACGGCUGGUUGGAAACUCAAGCAGGUCUAGCAGAAAUCUUCUGGCAAAGCAGAUGUUGUUGUACAACACUAAAUCUUCAAAUGUUUCUUGUUUCUGAAACCUAGAGCACAGACUUGGGACACUCAGAAGCUAAACUCAAAGGGACUCAAACAGGUACUCAGCAAUUGCUUAAAUUUCUAUUUUAUACUUAAUUUUGUAUUUUAUAGACUAGAACUAUACUAAGCAUACUUAAUAUAUAACAUUUGGCUUCAGAAGCAGUAGGUCUUGAGGCUGCCCUCUGUCAAACCUGAGAGAUAGCGGCAGUAGCUCUCUGCAUCCCAUCUCAGAGCCUGCACCUUGUGCUUUUACUUGUGAGAUGUGCAAUCUGCCUUUGAAAAUGAAAGAGGUGGCCUCUACCAGCAGAAGACCCACGAAUUCCAAACCCCUUGAAAUGGGGGUGAAAUGGAGCAGAAAAAAAAAAUCCUUACCUGACAUAAGCAGAACUGCCACAGAUUGUCUAAUCUCUGCUGUCCAGCCUAUGUAAAUGACAA